GAUGAAGAACGUAGCGAAAUGCGAUAAGUAAUGUGAAUUGCAGAAUUCAGUGAAUCAUCGAAUCUUUGAACGCACCUUGCGCCCUUUGGCCAUUCCGAAGGGCAUGCCUGUUUGAGUAUCAUGAACACCUCAACUCUUCAUGGUUUUCCGUGAUGAGCUUGGACUUUGGGGGUCUUGCUGGCCUAUGGUCAGCUCCUCUAAAAUAAAUCAGCUUGCCAGUGUUUGGUGGGUAUCACAGGUGUGAUAACUAUCUACGCUUGUGGUUUUCCACCAGGUAACCUUCAGCAGUGGAGGUUCGCUGGAGCUCACAGAUGUGUCUCUCCUCAGUGAGGACAGCUCUUUGAAUGUUUGAUCUCAAAUCAGGUAGGACUAUCCGCUGAACUUAAGCAUAUCAAUAAGCGGAGGA
RNAcentral lists this unclassified non-coding RNA (406 nucleotides) under soil metagenome. RNAcentral's name for it is "partial contains 5.8S ribosomal RNA, internal transcribed spacer 2, and large subunit ribosomal RNA". The stretch from base 1 to 121 matches the Rfam family "5.8S ribosomal RNA", at positions 35 to 154 of the family's 154-position model. The record is from RNAcentral.